GGGAUGACACAGUAGGAUAAGCUAAGCACACUGUUGGUUAUGUGUGCCCAAGCAUUGAGGCAGUCAAAGUAGGCAAAUCCGCUUUGAUAAUGCUGGGAUGUGAUGGGGAGCGAAAUUUAGUAGCGAAGUAGCUGAUUUCACACUGUCAAGAAAAGUCUCUAUCGAGGUUAAAGGUACCCGUACCGCAAACCGACACAGGUGGGUGAGGAGAGUAUCCUAAGGCCAGCGAGAGAACUGUUGUUAAGGAACUCGGCAAAAUGACCCCGUAACUUAGGGAUAAGGGGUGCCACCAUCAGGUGGCCGCAGAGAAUAGGCCCAAGCGACUGUUUACCAAAAACAUAGGUUUCUGCUAAGUCGCAAGACGAUGUAUAGGAGCUGACGCCUGCCCGGUGCUGGAAGGUUAAGGGGAUCUGUUAGAGCAAUCGAAGCAGUGAACUUAAGCCCCAGUAAACGGCGGCCGUAACUAUAACGGUCCUAAGGUAGCGAAAUUCCUUGUCGGGUAAGUUCCGACCCGCACGAAAGGCGUAACGAUUUGGGCACUGUCUCAACAACAGACUCGGUGAAAUUGUAAUUCCGGUGAAGAUGCCGGAUACCUGCGACAGGACGGAAAGACCCCAUGGAGCUUUACUGUAGCUUGACAUUGGGUCUUGGUACUACAUGUACAGGAUAGGUGGGAGGCUUUGAAACCAGGACGCCAGUUUUGGCGGAGCCAUCCUUGGGAUACCACCCUUGUAGUACUGGGACUCUAACCAUAGGCCAUGAAUCUGGUCUUGGGACACUGUCAGGUGGGCAGUUUGACUGGGGCGGUCGCCUCCCAAAAGGUAACGGAGGCGCUCUAAGGUUCUCUCAGUACGGUCGGAAAUCGUACGUAGAGUGUAAAGGCAAAAGAGAGCUUGAUUGCAAGACGUACAGGUCGAGCAAGGAUGAAAAUCGGACUUAGUGAUCCGGUGGUUCUGCGUGGAAGGGCCAUCGCUCAACGGAUAAAAGCUACCCUGGGGAUAACAGGCUUAUCUCCCCCAAGAGUCCACAUCGACGGGGAGGUUUGGCACCUCGAUGUCGGCUCAUCACAUCCUGGGGCUGUAGUAGGUCCCAAGGGUUGGGCUGUUCGCCCAUUAAAGUGGUACGCGAGCUGGGUUCAGAACGUCGUGAGACAGUUCGGUCCCUAUCCGUCGCAGGCGUAGGAAAUUUGAGAAGACCUGUCCUUAGUACGAGAGGACCGGGAUGGACGUACCUCUGGUGUACCAGUUGUCCUGCCAAGGGCAUGGCUGGGUAGCUAUGUACGGAAUGGAUAAGCGCUGAAAGCAUCUAAGCGCGAAGCCAACUUCAAGAUAAGAUUUCCCACCGCAAGGGUAAGACCCCAGAAAGACUAUCUGGUUGAUAGGUCGAAGGUGUAAGUG
RNAcentral lists this ribosomal RNA (1397 nucleotides) under Clostridioides difficile. RNAcentral's name for it is "partial 23S ribosomal RNA". It matches the Rfam family "Bacterial large subunit ribosomal RNA", at positions 1466 to 2875 of the family's 2925-position model. The record is from RNAcentral. Lineage: Bacteria; Bacillati; Bacillota; Clostridia; Peptostreptococcales; Peptostreptococcaceae.